RNAcentral lists this ribosomal RNA (467 nucleotides) under uncultured bacterium. RNAcentral describes it as "partial 16S ribosomal RNA". It matches the Rfam family "Bacterial small subunit ribosomal RNA", at positions 28 to 506 of the family's 1533-position model. The record is from RNAcentral.
GACGAACGCUGGCGGCGUGCUUAACACAUGCAAGUCGAACGGAAAGGCCCUGCUUUUGUGGGGUGCUCGAGUGGCGAACGGGUGAGUAACACGUGAGUAACCUGCCCUUGACUUUGGGAUAACUUCAGGAAACUGGGGCUAAUACCGGAUAGGAGCUCCUGCUGCAUGGUGGGGGUUGGAAAGUUUCGGCGGUUGGGGAUGGACUCGCGGCUUAUCAGCUUGUUGGUGGGGUAGUGGCUUACCAAGGCUUUGACGGGUAGCCGGCCUGAGAGGGUGACCGGCCACUUUGGGACUGAGAUACGGCCCAGACUCCUACGGGGGGCAGCAGUGGGGAAUUUUGCACAAUGGGGGGAAGCCUGAUGCAGCAACGCCGGGGGCGGGAUGACGGCCUUCGGGUUGUAAACCGCUUUCGCCUGUGACGAAGGGUGGGUGGCGGUAAUGGGUAAAGAAGCCCCGGCUAACUACGU